This is a long non-coding RNA of Gallus gallus (chicken), 2608 nucleotides long. NCBI's taxonomy places the organism in Eukaryota, Metazoa, Chordata, Aves, Galliformes, Phasianidae. The record is from Ensembl.
UCUUUGUCUAUGCCUUUAUUGUGUUACUAAUUAGAAUUAACAGAAUAAAUGGAAAUGUACAUAGUAUUUGAUAGUGUUCCUUUAAUAGAAAAUGGUUAACUUGAAUUACUUACAAGUUUUACAUAUUUCAGUACUGUUGUAACUGCACUCAAGCUAUGUCAUUACCUUUUAUUCCGACUGUGAAAACAUUUAUUAGAUGAACAAUUUCUAAUUUUGAUAUCUAGUUCAUAAUCCACAGUUGUCAAUAAUGAAGAUAGUAUGUAACACAGUGCAUAGAAGACAUUUAUAUCAGGCCUAGCAAUGUUGGGUAACAAUCUCAUGCUUUAAUGUACAACGGUUUAUCCUAAGCAGACUUUAAUGCAGUGAUCCUCUUGUCAAUCUUCAGCAUUUCUCUACUGUGAGUGACCACUCCCUUCUCCAAGGACAAAAGAAAUCCAGUCUCUGGAUUAAUCAGCACAUAGAUCCUAUGCAGGUAUGGUCACCACUUCUUCCCACUUUUUUUAACUCCCAUUGGAUUAACUAGCAUCAGAAUGACAUUAUUUAUAUUGAAUGAUGUUCUUUUACAAAUCUUAUUCUAACAGGUCACAAAUAUGGUCAAAGUACCAGAGGCCCAUGAAGCUACAUAUGAAGAAUGCUUGCACUGAAUUAUUUUCCAACAAACAGAACCCAGUAUUUUCUAUUAGGCACAGCUUUUGUAGUGCAGAAAAACAAAACUGAUAUAUUUAUAUUAAUAUUUUAAUAAUUAUCAUAUCUGCAAAGUAGAAGUUUAAGAAUAUCUGCCUCAUUUUGAAAAUAAACUGCAAAGUAGUAAUUAUAUUUUGUAUUCAAAUGUUAGACACAUUGGAUGAAUGUGGGGUUUUUUUCCCCACUGCAAAGUGGGGAGACUGUAUUAUUAAAAAACACUCACUGGCAUUAGUUUUGUAUUUAUGUCUAAAUAAAACUAAUAUAUGCUUUCCCCCUUGUCUGUUACUUGUUCGGGUUAGUUGGAAGCUGAAAAUGUCAGUUUACAGGUUUUGUAUGUGCAAAGUAAGUCUUGGAAAGAUGAGUAUCCAUGAAGUGUUGAUCUGACUUCUCAUCACAGAGCUGACUGAAUUUAUUAUUUUCUGAAAAAAAUCAUCAAACAUCUUGACUUUGUAUCUCAAAUCUACAACUUUACAGAACUACCACUGCUGCUAUACCAAAAGGCUUUGGAGUGUUCUAAAAAAUAUUGCUUUUAAGGUAGAUGGUAGAAGUGCAGCAUUCUACGUUACAGCCAUAAUUUAAGUAUUGACUACAGAACACAAUCAGUGUUCACUGAGUUUAAACACAUUUUUUGCAGACAUCAGCAGAGGUAGUGUAUUUUAUCAGUGUGCUUCAUGCAAGCUUUGUGGUGAGUUGUAGCAAUUUCAUUAGCUAUUGUGACUGAAUAAGGUGAUCACCUUACCAUUGGUAAAUGUCAGACUGCCAGGUAUUAUUGUCUCAAUGAAAUUAUUGCACCUGAUACACAAUUUAAUUUAUUCUUUGUAUAGCAUAAUAGAUUAUUCUAAAUAACUUACUUCUUGUGUCACAUAUGCUUGUAGUCAGUAUAGAAUCGUAGAAGCAUAGAAUCAUAGAAUCACCAAGACCUCUAAGAUCAUCCAGUACAACCAUUCAGCUAUCACCAAUGUUUCCCAUUAACUACGUAGGUUUUUCCAUUGUUACUGUUGUUGGGAUUGAGCUGUACUUAUGUUUCUGUCUGUUUCCCACCCACUGAUUUCAGUGAACACUUAACAGAUCUAGAAGCCAUAAGUACUGCCUGUAGAAUACUCAGAAGCUCUCUGUUCUAUCAGCAAUGGAAGCAACAAAAUGAUUUUUGCUGUUCUAAGUGUAGUAGUCCAGCAGUGAAGCACCGCACUGCUGUUACUGAAAGAAAUAUAAUAUAGUCCUGUUGUAAUGCACAUGAAAUUGAUUGACUGAUGUUAGGAUUCCUAUUCCAAGUAUGCACUGUCUGAUGCACUGACAGUGAACAGCCUUGGCAGGGCAGUGUUGCUGUAUGCUGUUUCACUGCAGCUAAGCCACAGCUCCUUGCGCAGGUGCAUGACAUCUAGCAUUCAUACAAAUGUGUUCCCAAACACAUGGUGUUAAAGAGAAGUGCCACCAAAUGGCACUGGGACUGCACGCACAGCAGCUGAGAAGUGGACUUUUAAUACCUAGUGAUUGUGCGUACAACUGUGGUUUGUUUCCUCUUCUAUUCAGUGUGCUUUGUACCACACAGAGAGAGAGCAACCGCGACCUAAGGGAGGAGCAGAGGGCUGCUCAUGUUAAACAUCCUUGAUAUUUUGUUUCGUUUUGUACAUUCAUUGUCUAUCGCAUAGCAAAGUACCCUAAGCUUUCGUGUGCGUUCAACGCUGCGGGCACAAACACAUUUCCCAUAUAUUUAAUACUGCGGGGUCCUGUGGAGUCCAAGAGAUGUUCCUCAGUUCGCUGCUGCCUGUCACAGUGCAGUGGGACUGGAGAGCGUCCACGCGUACACAGAGCAAGAACACCCUUAGGACAGCUCAUCGCUGGCAGCCGCCGGACCCGAUACCCUCCACGCCUAAAGCAACCCCCCUCCUCAGCCAACAGCCGGCCCCCUCCCGCUCCAAACCAC